AGGUAGUCUGAAAGCUCCAUCACUAUGAACUAUCACCCAGGUCUUGCCUCGGCUGAUCUGAGCUGGGCUUUACAUUGGUCUGUGAUUAUCCAAAAAGGCAUCAUCCUGAGCAUAGGGAAAUACAGCACUGAAGAAACACGGUUCUAUGAUUUGCAAUUGAUCACAAGUUAUUAGGGAAGAUAGACAAGAAAACUAACAAGUUUGAAACAGCCACUCCACUGACAGCAAAAGAAGAAACAGAUUUAAUUUGAAUUUUGUAUAAUUCAAGACUGAUGACCCAACAGAAUAUUCAGGGCAUGCCUUCCUUUCAACAUGAAUAUCGUGAGUAAAGAAAUUCAAAUGAAUACAGUAAUUCAUAGUAUGGACUCA
This is a long non-coding RNA of Herpailurus yagouaroundi (jaguarundi), 369 nucleotides long. RefSeq lists it as uncharacterized. The transcript is spliced from 3 exons. The record is from RefSeq and is a predicted model, not a curated record. NCBI's taxonomy places the organism in Eukaryota, Metazoa, Chordata, Mammalia, Carnivora, Felidae.